UAGAGUACUCGGCUUUUAACCGACGAGUU
RNAcentral lists this transfer RNA (29 nucleotides) under Nitella opaca. RNAcentral describes it as "partial tRNA-Lys". Lineage: Eukaryota; Viridiplantae; Streptophyta; Charophyceae; Charales; Characeae. The record is from RNAcentral.